This 70-nucleotide transfer RNA is filed under the name Felis catus (domestic cat). It matches the Rfam family "tRNA". Rfam says of the family: Transfer RNA (tRNA) molecules are approximately 80 nucleotides in length. Their secondary structure includes four short double-helical elements and three loops (D, anti-codon, and T loops). Lineage: Eukaryota; Metazoa; Chordata; Mammalia; Carnivora; Felidae. RNAcentral also lists the same sequence under 5 other names. The record is from Rfam by way of RNAcentral.
ACCUGGCUGGCUCAGUUGGUAGAGCAUGUGACUCUUGAUCUUGGGGUCAUGAGUUUGAGCCUCAUGGGUG